Cuculus canorus (common cuckoo) is the source of this 47-nucleotide non-coding RNA. NCBI's taxonomy places the organism in Eukaryota, Metazoa, Chordata, Aves, Cuculiformes, Cuculidae. The record is from Rfam.
CCAAAGGCUCUUUUAAGAGCCGCCACGUUAUCAAUAAAAAGAGCUGU